Long non-coding RNA from Chinchilla lanigera (long-tailed chinchilla), 2203 nucleotides. RefSeq lists it as uncharacterized. The transcript is spliced from 3 exons. Lineage: Eukaryota; Metazoa; Chordata; Mammalia; Rodentia; Chinchillidae. The record is from RefSeq and is a predicted model, not a curated record.
CUUAAAGAUUCCAGUCAGAGAACAAUAGGUCCCACUCUCUCACUAUUAAUCUUCCUUAGCUGCCUCCGUGUCUGCCCAAAGCAGUGGGUGAGCCCCUCCCUACAACAACCUUUGGUCUAAGUUCUCAUUUACCCAUAAGAUUUAAUCAGCAGAGUAUAAUAAUAAAAAGAUCAUUUGUCUGCUGGUUGAACACUAAACUGGAGAGGACUAGACUGGAGAUAUUUACCGGGUGCCUGUGUGUCAGGCAUUGUUCCAAGUGCUUCUGAUAUGUCUUUUCAGUGGCCGUCGAUACUAUUAUUAUCUCCACUGAUUUAGGACACGUUGCUUUUGGCCACACAGCCAAGUGUGGGAGCUGGUGGAAAGAAGUGAAGAAGACGCCACCUUACUUUUAGCUACUGAGAUAACUGUCUUUCAAGCACACGCAGGGGACAGGUUGUCCAAGCGAACUGGUUUGAAAGCACAGCAGACAUUUAGAAUUCCAAAGGUCUUUUCUGAAGUGACCAGAGGCAGCGUCAAGAAGGUUAUUAUCAUAACCUCUACUAGGAACAUUAGAACCCACUCAAUUAGGACACGAACCGAAUAACUGUCCAUUUUUCACUACCUUAGUGGCUUCAGUUGUAAAAGCAACCACAAACACACAAAAACAAAACAGAACAAAAAUAAGAGGCUUGAGUGAUCAUUAGAUUUCUUCCAGCUCUAAAACAUUCCUAUGCCAUUUCAUUUCUUCAGUUAGAAACUGCCUCCCCGCCUCAUGUUUUAAAAAAUAUAACUACUCCUAGCAGUAGAGGCAGGAAAAGGGAUAAGUAGUAAUGAAAGAAGAGAAAUCAAAAGGGAAAGAGAAAUACAUAGACACAUACACCACAACUACACUCCCUGUGUUGUACUUCUUACAUUAUCAACUCUCUUUGCAAUGGCCUGCUGAAAGUGUUUUUCCUUUUUUCUCUUUUUAACCUAUGCUUGCCUGCCUCAUAUAACCUUGCCAACUUUUUUUUUUUUUUACACCUAGUAAUGGAAAAACAAGAGCCAUUAGCAAAUUUCACCUACUUCUUGGUUUUGCUCCUAGCUUAGGACUAUGGUGGACUGCUGGGCUUCCUUGUGGCCUUCGGAGUAGACAGCUAGGUUUGCUCAGGGCUCUUCCCUCCACCUGGCUUGGAAUACCCCCACAAAACCGAUGAGGUAAACUCCCCGACACUUACAGGGCCUCACACAGCAGCACUGUUGCUCUGUGCAAAUGUCUGACCGUCCUCAGAGAGCUCAACUCUAUUUCCACAGAAGCGGUCCCCAGUCAACUGGCCUCUCCCAAAGAACUCUCUAAUGCUGCAGGACUGGAACCCAGGAGACGCGGUUCCUGACGCAGCCUGAGACUCAGGAAGCCUCACCAGGAAUUCCCAUAGUGCCUCCACACCAUUAAUGUGAGACAGGGCAGAAUUCUUCCUGAGGAGUCAUGGUUAUAAGCGCAGACAUGGCUCUCUGGGGGGCCCAGUGGAACCCAGCAUGAAAGGAAGGAAUUGGGGUUUUCUGAACACCUCUACGAUGAAUGCAGGCCCAACCAAGGGUUUGCAGGUAAAACUUUUCAACCCUGUCAGAGUUAGUUUUGUAUUCAUAACAGAAGCAAACACAACAAAAGCAAGCCCCAACUCAAAUGCAAUAAAGCAAAUCACUUCUCUCUCCCAAAUCUGUCCGACCCACCCUAUAACAAUUUCUAAUUUCUUAUGCAAACGAUGCCUCAUUUCUAAUUUCAACAGCCUUUUACUCCAUUCUGAGCGUAGGCUUCAGUGGCAGCAAAUGUAAGCACGGGAGAAUUUACCUCUGUAUCAAGAUCACUUGAAAACAGGGAUCUGCAGAUGAAAGCCCAGCGCCAAAUCAAACCCGCUGGCAAAUCAAACUGCACCGAGAACGAUUCUUUCCCGCCCGGCUUUUUCCUGGCCGCACUUUGCAAAGGACAGGAGGCCUCUCCCGCUCAGUUUAGCGGGACGCCUGCUCCUCGAGGAUCGCGCCGCAGGCGUCCCCAGACGGGCUGAUGACGGCAGCCAGCACCCCUGGCAAACGGCAGUUCCCAGAGGAGGGGCUCUGCCCGCCUGGAGCCUGCGUCCCGCUGGCCCUGUCUCCGCUAGGGUCCUCAAUUCCACGCUUGCGGCCUUGGGGCCGAGGCUCUGCCCCCAGACGUCACCCCGCCGUGCGCCCCCACAGCACAGAGCCCUGU